RNAcentral lists this ribosomal RNA (2134 nucleotides) under Salmonella enterica subsp. enterica serovar Enteritidis. Its description in RNAcentral is "partial 23S ribosomal RNA". It matches the Rfam family "Bacterial large subunit ribosomal RNA", at positions 690 to 2824 of the family's 2925-position model. Lineage: Bacteria; Pseudomonadati; Pseudomonadota; Gammaproteobacteria; Enterobacterales; Enterobacteriaceae. The record is from RNAcentral.
GGGCGUUAAGUUGCAGGGUAUAGACCCGAAACCCGGUGAUCUAGCCAUGGGCAGGUUGAAGGUUGGGUAACACUAACUGGAGGACCGAACCGACUAAUGUUGAAAAAUUAGCGGAUGACCUGUGGCUGGGGGUGAAAGGCCAAUCAAACCGGGAGAUAGCUGGUUCUCCCCGAAAGCUAUUUAGGUAGCGCCUCGUGAAUUCAUCUCCGGGGGUAGAGCACUGUUUCGGCUAGGGGGCCAUCCCGGCUUACCAACCCGAUGCAAACUGCGAAUACCGGAGAAUGUUAUCACGGGAGACACACGGCGGGUGCUAACGUCCGUCGUGAAGAGGGAAACAACCCAGACCGCCAGCUAAGGUCCCAAAGUCAUGGUUAAGUGGGAAACGAUGUGGGAAGGCCCAGACAGCCAGGAUGUUGGCUUAGAAGCAGCCAUCAUUUAAAGAAAGCGUAAUAGCUCACUGGUCGAGUCGGCCUGCGCGGAAGAUGUAACGGGGCUAAACCAUGCACCGAAGCUGCGGCAGCGACACUGUGUGUUGUUGGGUAGGGGAGCGUUCUGUAAGCCUGNUGCUGGAGGUAUCAGAAGUGCGAAUGCUGACAUAAGUAACGAUAAAGCGGGUGAAAAGCCCGCUCGCCGGAAGACCAAGGGUUCCUGUCCAACGUUAAUCGGGGCAGGGUGAGUCGACCCCUAAGGCGAGGCCGAAAGGCGUAGUCGAUGGGAAACGGGUUAAUAUUCCCGUACUUGGUGUUACUGCGAAGGGGGGACGGAGAAGGCUAUGUUGGCCGGGCGACGGUUGUCCCGGUUUAAGCGUGUAGGUGUGUGUUCCAGGUAAAUCCGGUUCACUUUAACACUGAGGCGUGACGACGAGGCACUACGGUGCUGAAGCAACAAAUGCCCUGCUUCCAGGAAAAGCCUCUAAGCAUCAGGUAACAUCAAAUCGUACCCCAAACCGACACAGGUGGUCAGGUAGAGAAUACCAAGGCGCUUGAGAGAACUCGGGUGAAGGAACUAGGCAAAAUGGUGCCGUAACUUCGGGAGAAGGCACGCUGACACGUAGGUGAAGUGAUUUACUCAUGGAGCUGAAGUCAGUCGAAGAUACCAGCUGGCUGCAACUGUUUAUUAAAAACACAGCACUGUGCAAACACGAAAGUGGACGUAUACGGUGUGACGCCUGCCCGGUGCCGGAAGGUUAAUUGAUGGGGUCAGCGCAAGCGAAGCUCCUGAUCGAAGCCCCGGUAAACGGCGGCCGUAACUAUAACGGUCCUAAGGUAGCGAAAUUCCUUGUCGGGUAAGUUCCGACCUGCACGAAUGGCGUAAUGAUGGCCAGGCUGUCUCCACCCGAGACUCAGUGAAAUUGAACUCGCUGUGAAGAUGCAGUGUACCCGCGGCAAGACGGAAAGACCCCGUGAACCUUUACUAUAGCUUGACACUGAACAUUGAGCCUUGAUGUGUAGGAUAGGUGGGAGGCUUUGAAGUGUGGACGCCAGUCUGCAUGGAGCCGACCUUGAAAUACCACCCUUUAAUGUUUGAUGUUCUAACGUGGACCCGUUACCCGGGUUGCGGACAGUGUCUGGUGGGUAGUUUGACUGGGGCGGUCUCCUCCUAAAGAGUAACGGAGGAGCACGAAGGUUGGCUAAUCCUGGUCGGACAUCAGGAGGUUAGUGCAAUGGCAUAAGCCAGCUUGACUGCGAGCGUGACGGCGCGAGCAGGUGCGAAAGCAGGUCAUAGUGAUCCGGUGGUUCUGAAUGGAAGGGCCAUCGCUCAACGGAUAAAAGGUACUCCGGGGAUAACAGGCUGAUACCGCCCAAGAGUUCAUAUCGACGGCGGUGUUUGGCACCUCGAUGUCGGCUCAUCACAUCCUGGGGCUGAAGUAGGUCCCAAGGGUAUGGCUGUUCGCCAUUUAAAGUGGUACGCGAGCUGGGUUUAGAACGUCGUGAGACAGUUCGGUCCCUAUCUGCCGUGGGCGCUGGAGAACUGAGGGGGGCUGCUCCUAGUACGAGAGGACCGGAGUGGACGCAUCACUGGUGUUCGGGUUGUCAUGCCAAUGGCACUGCCCGGUAGCUAAAUGCGGAAGAGAUAAGUGCUGAAAGCAUCUAAGCACGAAACUUGCCCCGAGAUGAGUUCUCCCUGAGACUUA